Molecule: long non-coding RNA, 2789 nt
Filed under: Numida meleagris (helmeted guineafowl)
Lineage: Eukaryota; Metazoa; Chordata; Aves; Galliformes; Numididae
Description: lncRNA (ENSNMEG00000002144.1)
Source: RNAcentral
GCACCAUACAAAGCAAUGCACAAUGCAAAGUGCACCAGGAAUGCAAUGCACCAUACAAAGCAAUGCAUGGUGCAAAAUGCACAAUGCAAAGGAAUGCACAAUGGAAAGCAAUGCACAAGACAAAAUCCAUGAGCAAGGCAUUGCACAAGGCGAAGUGCACAAAGCACAGCAAAGCACGGUGCAAAGCCAUGCACGAUGCCACGUGCACCAGGGAUGCAGUGCACAACGUAAUGCACACGGCAAAGCGAUGCACGAUGCAAAAUGCACGUGGAGUGCACAGUGCACAAGGCAAAGUGCACACUGCAAAGCAACACGCGGGGGAAAGGAAUGCACGGUGCACAAUGCACGAGGAAGGCGGUGCACAAGGCAAAUGCACAAUGCAAAGUGCAGAAUGCAAAGUAGCGCACGGUGCAAAAUGCACGGGGAAGGCAAUGCGCAAUGCAAACCAAUGCACAAUGCCACGUGCACGUGGAAUGCAAAGCAAUGCACGAUGCGAUGUGCACAAGGAACGCAAUGCAUGGUGCAAGGCACAACUAGUGCACAGUGCAAAGCAGUGCAGAGUGCAAAAUGCAGGGGGGAGGCAAUGCACAAUGCACAGCAACGCACGAUGCCACACGCACGAGAAAUGCAAUGCACGCUGCAGUGCACGGUGCAAGGCAAUGCCCAACGCAAAGCAGCGCAUGGUGCAAAACGCACAAGGAAGGUAGUGUGCAACGCAAAAUGCACAAUGCCCAGCAAUGCACAAUGCCACGUGCACCAGGAAUGCAGUUCACCGUGCAAAGUGCACAAUGCAAAGCAAUGCGCGAUGCAAAGCAGAGCACGGUGCAAAACGCACGGGGAAGGCAGUGCACAAGGCAAAGUGCACAAUGCACAGCAGCGCUCAGUGCACAGCAGUGCACAGUGCACAAUGCACAGGGAAGGCAGUGCACGGUGCAAUGCACAAUGGAAAGCAAUGCACAAUGCCACGUACACCAGGAAUGCAAUUCACCAUGCAAAGUGCACAAUGCAAAGCAGAGCACGGUACAAAAUGCACGGGGAACGCAAUGCACACUGCAAUGCACAAUGGAAAGCAAUGCACGGUGCAAAGUGCACCAGGAAUGCAAUUCACCGUGCAAAGUGCACCAGGAAUGCAAUUCGCCGUGCAAAGUGCACAAUGCAAAGCAAUGCACAAUGCAAAGCAGAGCACGGUACAAAACGCACGGGGGAGGCAGUGCACAAUGCAAAGUGCACAAUGCAAAGCAGUGCACGGUGCAAANNGCACGGGGAAGGCAGUGCACAAUGCAAAGUGCACAAUGCAAAGCAGUGCACGGUGCAAAUUGCACGGGGAAGGCAAUGCAUCCUGCAAAGCAAUGCACGAUGCGAUGUGCACGAGGAAUGCAUGAUGCAGUGCACAAUGGAAAGCAAUGCACAACGCGAUGUGCACGAGGAAUGCAAUUCACAAUACAAAGCGCGCACCGCAAAGCAGUGCACGGUGCAAAGCAGAGCACGGUACAAAGUGCAUGAGGAAGGCAACGCACAAUGCAAAGUGCAAAGUGCACGAUGCAAAGCAGCGCAGGGUGCAAAGCACACAAGGAAGGCAGUGCACAGGGCAAAGCGCACAAUACGAAGUGCACAACGCAAAGCAGUGCACGGUGCAAAACGCACGGGGAAGGCAGUGCACAAUGCAAAGUGCACAAUGCAAAGUGCACAAUGCACAGCAAUGCGCAAUGCGACGCGCACGAGGAAUGCAAUGCACGAUGCGAAGCAAUGCACGACGGCACGUGCACGUGGAACGGAAAGCACGACAUAACGCACUACGGAAACCAACGCACGAUGCGAUGUGCACGAGGAAUGCAAUGCACGGCGCAACGCACGACGCACAAUGCAAAGUGCACAAAGCCAAGCAGUGCAUGCUGCAAAGUGCACGGGGAAGGCAACGCACCGUGCAGAGCGCUGCACGAUAACGAUGUGCACGAGGAAUCCAAUGCACGGUGCAACGCGCAAAGCAACGCCGUGCACAACGCCAUGCACCAUGCAAUGCGCGCACACAGUGCAACGCACCAUACAACAGGAUGCACACUGCAACGCCGUGCACACGGCACGACGCAAUGCACAACACUAGGCCGUGCACAACGCACGGGGCACGUGCAACGCAAAGCAGGGCACGACGCAACGCAGGGCACACGUGCAAUGCACAAUGCAGUGCAGCACACCAUGCACUGUGCACGUGCAACGCGGAGUGCGUGCACAAUGCCACAUGCAGCGCAAUGCACAACGCACAAGUCACGCUGCCGUGGUGCAAAGCACAAUACAAUGCGCCGUGCAAUGCACGGUGCAAGAACCACGCAAAGCACAACGCACCACUCGUGCACGCUGCACACGGCCCCCGUGCAAACGCACGCUCUGCUCGCACACAGCGCAGGGCACAAGGCAACGCGCGUGCAAGCCAACUCCGUGCGCUAUUGGCACGUGACGCCGUGCACGGCGUGCAAAUGCACGCAUGGCGCUCUGCAAAGCGUGCACGCUGCCGGCAGCACCCGUGCAACACGCACACGCAAUGCACACACGGAGCAUGCGUGCUCUGCAAAUGCACGCCAAGGUGCAACGCACGACGCACGCGCAAUGCACACGUGAUGCACGCACAAUGCACGUGGAGUACAGCACACAACGCUCGUGCAAUGCACGUGCCAUGCACAGCUCCCAUGGAAAGCAAGUGUGGAUGCACAAUCCACGUGCAAUGCACAGGGCACACGGAAUGCCAUGCAUGACACACACACAGUGCAAUGCACGCGUGAUGAAUGCACAUUGCA